Molecule: transfer RNA, 126 nt
Filed under: Plantactinospora sp. CNZ320
Lineage: Bacteria; Bacillati; Actinomycetota; Actinomycetes; Micromonosporales; Micromonosporaceae
Description: tRNA-Ala
Source: RNAcentral
GGACCGGUGGCAGAGCCGGGUUAUCGCAGCGUCCCGAGUCGGUCUGGUGCACGCGCCGUGACUGGGAGACGCGUGGGGCCACUGGCGUGCCAUGCCCCACCAGGGGUUCAAAUCCCCUCCGGUCCG